CCUAACCCUGACCCCCUGACCUUUAGAUGGCCUGUCUCCUGGCAAUGUUAUGGCCCACUCCCCUUAGCUACGCUGCUACGUGGGCUGCAUUGUGUGAUCCCUAUUAGAAGACACACUGUUUCCAAAGUACAGAGCAAAAACUCAGAAUCCCAAGACUGUCCUAUCAGAUCAAUCCUGUGCAAUUCCAGAUCAAUAAGAAAGAAAACAGCUUUUAUUGUGUGUCUUAUACCCCACUUCCUAUAGACCGUAAGCUUGUUUUAGCAGGGUCCUCUUCAACCUAGUUCCUGUAAGUUUUCUCGUUACUGUCCUAUUUAUAGUUACAUCCCCCCUCUCAUAAUAUUGUAAAGCGCUACGGAAUCUGUUGGCGCUAUAUAAAUGGCAAUAAUAAUAAUAAAUCCCAGACCAAUAUCAGUCCACAAACCCCAAUCUUUUGAAUGCAUAGCCCAUUGCCUGCCCAGGCUUCUGAGACUAACUCAAGACACACCACAUGACGUGGUUGUGCGCUUUCAAAACAAAAGACGCACUACUCACAGCGGCACGCAAACUUACUAAGCUACCUGAGCCUUAUUCCAACAUCCAGAUAUAUGCUGACCUAUCGGUGCUGACAGUGAGCCGCCGGAGAGAGUUUCUUACAGUAACGAAAAUGCUGAGCAAUAACAACAUUCAAUAUCGCUGGGGCUAUCCGACGAAGGUCCUCAUUUGGAGAGAUUGAAGAACGCACACUGUUAAUGAACCGGAGGUGUGCAUGCGUCUCAUCAACGAAUGGGGACUAUUCCCUUAACAAGC
Pelobates cultripes (western spadefoot toad) is the source of this 786-nucleotide non-coding RNA. Lineage: Eukaryota; Metazoa; Chordata; Amphibia; Anura; Pelobatidae. The record is from the annotation of a GenBank genome assembly.